GGGUUGUGAGGUUAAGCGACUAAGCGUACACGGUGGAUGCCCUGGCAGUCAGAGGCGAUGAAGGACGUGCUAAUCUGCGAUAAGCGUCGGUAAGGUGAUAUGAACCGUUAUAACCGGCGAUUUCCGAAUGGGGAAACCCAGUGUGUUUCGACACACUAUCAUUAACUGAAUCCAUAGGUUAAUGAGGCGAACCGGGGGAACUGAAACAUCUAAGUACCCCGAGGAAAAGAAAUCAACCGAGAUUCCCCCAGUAGCGGCGAGCGAACGGGGAGGAGCCCAGAGCCUGAAUCAGUGUGUGUGUUAGUGGAAGCGUCUGGAAAGGCGCGCGAUACAGGGUGACAGCCCCGUACACAAAAAUGCACAUGCUGUGAGCUCGAUGAGUAGGGCGGGACACGUGGUAUCCUGUCUGAAUAUGGGGGGACCAUCCUCCAAGGCUAAAUACUCCUGACUGACCGAUAGUGAACCAGUACCGUGAGGGAAAGGCGAAAAGAACCCCGGCGAGGGGAGUGAAAAAGAACCUGAAACCGUGUACGUACAAGCAGUGGGAGCACGCUUAGGCGUGUGACUGCGUACCUUUUGUAUAAUGGGUCAGCGACUUAUAUUCUGUAGCAAGGUUAACCGAAUAGGGGAGCCGAAGGGAAACCGAGUCUUAACUGGGCGUUAAGUUGCAGGGUAUAGACCCGAAACCCGGUGAUCUAGCCAUGGGCAGGUUGAAGGUUGGGUAACACUAACUGGAGGACCGAACCGACUAAUGUUGAAAAAUUAGCGGAUGACUUGUGGCUGGGGGUGAAAGGCCAAUCAAACCGGGAGAUAGCUGGUUCUCCCCGAAAGCU
Molecule: ribosomal RNA, 833 nt
Filed under: Escherichia coli
Lineage: Bacteria; Pseudomonadati; Pseudomonadota; Gammaproteobacteria; Enterobacterales; Enterobacteriaceae
Description: partial 23S ribosomal RNA
Rfam family: Bacterial large subunit ribosomal RNA
Source: RNAcentral